UCACCCAAUAAAACCCUGUCUUACUCAUCA
This 30-nucleotide non-coding RNA is filed under the name Homo sapiens (human). Lineage: Eukaryota; Metazoa; Chordata; Mammalia; Primates; Hominidae. The record is from RNAcentral.